Molecule: ribosomal RNA, 257 nt
Filed under: uncultured bacterium
Lineage: Bacteria
Description: partial 16S ribosomal RNA
Rfam family: Bacterial small subunit ribosomal RNA
Source: RNAcentral
GAUAACCUACGGGGCGCAGCAGUAGGGAAUCUUCCACAAUGGACGAAAGUCUGAUGGAGCAACGCCGCGUGAGUGAAGAAGGGUUUCGGCUCGUAAAGCUCUGUUGGUAGGGAAGAAAGAUAGAGGUAGUAACUGGCCUUUAUUUGACGGUAAUUACUUAGAAAGUCACGGCUAACUACGUGCCCGCAGCCGCGGUAAUACGUAGGGGGGAAGCGUUUUCCGGAUUUAUUUGGGGUAAAGCGAGUGCAGGCGGGUCA